GCCGCCCUGGUUCAGUGGUUAUCACCCCAUUGACAGAUCACUUCAAUUCUGAGGUGUUCGAAGGUUCGAUUCCUUGGGUGGCA
Molecule: non-coding RNA, 83 nt
Organism: Mycena alexandri
Lineage: Eukaryota; Fungi; Basidiomycota; Agaricomycetes; Agaricales; Mycenaceae
Source: the annotation of a GenBank genome assembly